UAGUCCACGCCGUAAACGAUGAGCACUAGUUAUUGGGAUGGUUACAUUUCAGUGACGCAGCUAACGCAUUAAGUGCUCCGCCUGGGGAGUACGGUCGCAAGACUAAAACUCAAAGGAAUUGACGGGGGCCCGCACAAGCGGUGGAUCAUGUGGUUUAAUUCGAAGCAACGCGCAAAACCUUACCUGGGUUUGAAAUCCUGAGAAUCCUCUUUAAACGGAGGAGUGCCCUUCGGGGAAUUCAGUGACAGGCGCUGCAUGGCUGUCGUCAGCUCGUGUUGUGAAAUGUUGGGUUAAGUCUCGCAACGAGCGGAACCCCUGUCCUUAGUUGCCAGCAUUAAGUUGGGCACUCUAGGGAGACCGCCGGGGUUAACCCGGAGGAAGGUGGGGAUGACGUCAAGUCCUCAUGGCCCUUAUAUCCAGGGCUACACACGUGAUACAAUGGUUGGUACAGAGGGAAGCGAAACCGCGAGGUCAAGCCAAUCUCAAAAAGCCAAUCUCAGUCCGGAUUGAAGUCUGCAACUCGACUU
This 527-nucleotide ribosomal RNA is filed under the name uncultured bacterium. RNAcentral's name for it is "bacterial SSU rRNA". It matches the Rfam family "Bacterial small subunit ribosomal RNA", at positions 791 to 1318 of the family's 1533-position model. The record is from RNAcentral.